This 243-nucleotide ribosomal RNA is filed under the name uncultured bacterium. RNAcentral's name for it is "partial 16S ribosomal RNA". It matches the Rfam family "Bacterial small subunit ribosomal RNA", at positions 8 to 233 of the family's 1533-position model. The record is from RNAcentral.
AGAGUUUGAUCAUGGCUCAGGAUGAACGCUGGCGGCGUGCUUAACACAUGCAAGUCGAACGGAGACAUAUUUUGAAGUUUUCGGAUGGAAAGAUAUGAUCUUAGUGGCGGACGGGUGAGUAAUGUAUGAGCAACCUACCUUUAAGAGGGGGACAACAGUUGGAAACGACUGCUAAUACCGCAUAAUACGAAUUUGUCGCAUGACAGAUUUGUCAAAGGAGCAAUCCGCUUAAAGAUGGGCUCA